RNAcentral lists this non-coding RNA (31 nucleotides) under Oryctolagus cuniculus (rabbit). RNAcentral also lists the same sequence under 1 other name. The record is from RNAcentral. Lineage: Eukaryota; Metazoa; Chordata; Mammalia; Lagomorpha; Leporidae.
UACAGGCACGUUGAUGGUAAAAUCACCAAGU